CCUACGGGAGGCAGCAGUGGGGAAUAUUGCACAAUGGGGGAAACCCUGAUGCAGCGACGCCGCGUGAAGGAAGACGUUUUUCGUAUUGUAAACUUCUAUCAAUAGGGAAGAAAGAAAUGACGGUACCUAAAUAAGCAGCCCCUGCUAACUACGUGCCAGCAGCCGCGGUAAUACGGAGGGGGCAGGCGUUAUCCGGAAUUACUGGGUGGAAAGGGAGAGUAGGCGGCAAGGUAAGCGAGAUGUGAAAGCCUUAAGCUUAACUUAAGGAUGGCAUAACGAACUAUCUAGCUAGAGUACAGGAGAGGAAAGUGGAAUUCCUAGUGUAGCGGUGAAAUGCGUAGAUAUUAGGAAGAACACCAGUGGCGAAGGCGGCUUUCUGGACUGAAACUGACGUUGAGGCUCGAAAGCGUGGGGAGCGAACAGGAUUAGAUACCCGUGUAGUC
Molecule: ribosomal RNA, 443 nt
Filed under: uncultured bacterium
Lineage: Bacteria
Description: partial 16S ribosomal RNA
Rfam family: Bacterial small subunit ribosomal RNA
Source: RNAcentral